UACGUAGGGUGCAAGCGUUAAUCGGAAUUACUGGGCGUAAAGCGCACGCAGGCGGCUUGUUAAGUUAGAUGUGAAAGCCCCGGGCUCAACCUGGGAAAUGCAUUUAAAACUGUCCAGCUAGAGUCUUGUAGAGGGGGGUAGAAUUCUAGGUGUAGCGGUGAAAUGCGUAGAGAUCGGGAGGAAUACCGGUGGCGAAGGCGGCCCCCUGGACAAAGACUGACGCUGAGGUGCGAAAGCGUGGGGAGCAAACAGG
Molecule: ribosomal RNA, 253 nt
Filed under: uncultured bacterium
Lineage: Bacteria
Description: partial 16S ribosomal RNA
Rfam family: Bacterial small subunit ribosomal RNA
Source: RNAcentral